CAUGUAUGGUUUUGGUUGUUUAAAACAAUCACAUGGGUGCACGAUUGUUUUUUUUUUUUUUUGAGAAAAGGCUAAGGGUGCAAGAAUUUUACAAGUAACUAUCUUAUCUAACCUCUAGUAGCAUGCAUCGUCGUAAUAUUUUUUACCAUGUAUACAGGAUUUUUUUUUGGGUAAAAUGUAUACAAGAUUUUUUGAAAUAAAUAAUAAGAAAAAGGUACUUUAACAAAUAAAAACGUCAUAAUUAAGUGAUAGGUUUGGCAGAGACUGCAAAGAGUUCAUUUUGGAUAAUAUAUGGUUGGUAUUAUAUCCGUGGUGGGCUUCUCCGAAAGUCUUUACGAAUCGAGUGUGUAAGUUCAUGAUAUUCAACGUUGCUAAUUAAUGCUUGGGAGGAGAGCAUCGACCUCCGCGAGGAGGUCUUGGAACUGUUAUACAAGGCUUAAGUCGACUACUCAGAGGAGCUCGACAUGGUGGGGAUGGUCUUACGCAUAUGCUAGGUUUCGACCCUAUCAGUAUCCGUGCAGCCUCACCUACACAAACAAGUCAAUAUGUUAGCAAAUAUUACAGGAGAGAUUAUUAAAAAGUUAUAAUUAACAUUUAUGUAAUUAGUGUCCAAGUAUUGCCGAAGCGUCGUGACUAAUCUCUGAGGUAAGCAUGUCUCUUGGUAAGAACUUUCUUACUAAUCCACCACAGCUAAAACACCAACCAAUUGACCCACACACAGGAAAAAAAAAACAUGGUAUUUUAGAUCCAACACCACUGUGUACUCCACAACAAUAGAAAACGUGGUAUUUAUGGUAUUCACGAAAAUAAUUAAACAAUUUCUGAUUCCAACGGAGAAGAGUGCAUUUUGGACGAAUUUUGUUUAUUUUUCAUUUAUUUUAGAACGAGUAAUUUAUUGUGGUAACACGCUAUUUUUCUAAAUAUACAUCUAAUUUAUCAAAAGGAAGUUUUUAUACGAAUCUACUCUAAUAAGAAGUAUUAUAUGAUUUUAAUUGAUCAAAAUGGAGUUAAUUUUGUUUCUUCAGUUAAAACUAUGAUGUGACAGAAAUUUUCGGAAUAAGAAGAGACUGACCUAGGUGACGGAGUCUAGCCUCUGUGACACGAGCCUGAAAGGAUAGACAUAGAAAUAUAUGAAGUAAGCUCAGAAGAAGAAAAGCUUGUCUUGUUUUCUUCAUUACCAAUGUUUUGUUCUUAAUUCUCUCAAGUGUCG
RNAcentral lists this long non-coding RNA (1210 nucleotides) under Eutrema salsugineum. RNAcentral's name for it is "long non-coding RNA (ESAL_LNC001380)". Lineage: Eukaryota; Viridiplantae; Streptophyta; Magnoliopsida; Brassicales; Brassicaceae. The record is from RNAcentral.